This 838-nucleotide ribosomal RNA is filed under the name Pediococcus ethanolidurans. RNAcentral's name for it is "bacterial SSU rRNA". It matches the Rfam family "Bacterial small subunit ribosomal RNA", at positions 48 to 838 of the family's 1533-position model. The record is from RNAcentral. Lineage: Bacteria; Bacillati; Bacillota; Bacilli; Lactobacillales; Lactobacillaceae.
CUAAUACAUGCAAGUCGAACGCACUUUCGUUAAUUGAUUUUGAGAUGCUUGCAUCGAAGAUGAUUUUAACUAUAAAGUGAGUGGCGAACGGGUGAGUAACACGUGGGUAACCUGCCCAGAAGUGGGGGAUAACACCUGGAAACAGAUGCUAAUACCGCAUAACAAAAUUAACCGCAUGGUUGAUUUUUAAAAGAUGGCUUCGGCUAUCACUUCUGGAUGGACCCGCGGCGUAUUAGCUAGUUGGUGAGAUAAAGGCUCACCAAGGCAGUGAUACGUAGCCGACCUGAGAGGGUAAUCGGCCACAUUGGGACUGAGACACGGCCCAGACUCCUACGGGAGGCAGCAGUAGGGAAUCUUCCACAAUGGACGCAAGUCUGAUGGAGCAACGCCGCGUGAGUGAUGAAGGCUUUCGGGUCGUAAAACUCUGUUGUUGGAGAAGAACGUGUGUGAGAGUAACUGCUCAUGCAGUGACGGUAUCCAACCAGAAAGCCACGGCUAACUACGUGCCAGCAGCCGCGGUAAUACGUAGGUGGCAAGCGUUAUCCGGAUUUAUUGGGCGUAAAGCGAGCGCAGGCGGUCUUUUAAGUCUAAUGUGAAAGCCUUCGGCUUAACCGAAGAAGUGCAUUGGAAACUGGGAGACUUGAGUGCAGAAGAGGAGAGUGGAACUCCAUGUGUAGCGGUGAAAUGCGUAGAUAUAUGGAAGAACACCAGUGGCGAAGGCGGCUCUCUGGUCUGCAACUGACGCUGAGGCUCGAAAGCAUGGGUAGCGAACAGGAUUAGAUACCCUGGUAGUCCAUGCCGUAAACGAUGAAUGCUAAGUGUUGGAGGGUUUCCGCCC